Molecule: ribosomal RNA, 1631 nt
Filed under: Priestia megaterium
Lineage: Bacteria; Bacillati; Bacillota; Bacilli; Caryophanales; Bacillaceae
Description: partial 23S ribosomal RNA
Rfam family: Bacterial large subunit ribosomal RNA
Source: RNAcentral
GAAGUCAGACCGUAAGGACUGGUGGAGCGCUUAGAAGUGAGAAUGCCGGUAUGAGUAGCGAAAGACAAGUGAGAAUCUUGUCCACCGAAUGCCUAAGGUUUCCUGAGGAAGGCUCGUCCGCUCAGGGUUAGUCGGGACCUAAGCCGAGGCUGAAAAGCGUAGGCGAUGGCCAACAGGUUGAUAUUCCUGUACCACCUCCCCGCCGUUUGAGUAAUGGGGGGACGCAGUAGGAUAGGGUAAGCGCGCUGCUGGAUAUGCGCGUUCAAGCAGUUAGGCUGAUGAGUAGGCAAAUCCGCUCAUCAUAAAGGCUGAGCUGUGAUGACGAGGGAAUUAUAGUACCGAAGUUCCUGAUUCCACACUGCCAAGAAAAGCCUCUAGCGAGGCGGGAGGUGCCCGUACCGCAAACCGACACAGGUAGGCGAGGAGAGAAUCCUAAGGUGAUCGAGAGAACUCUCGUUAAGGAACUCGGCAAAAUGACCCCGUAACUUCGGGAGAAGGGGUGCUCUGGUAGGGUGUAUAGCCCGAGAGAGCCGCAGUGAAUAGGCCCAGGCGACUGUUUAGCAAAAACACAGGUCUCUGCGAAGCCGCAAGGCGAAGUAUAGGGGCUGACGCCUGCCCGGUGCUGGAAGGUUAAGAGGAGGGGUUAUCCUUUGGGAGAAGCUCUGAAUCGAAGCCCCAGUAAACGGCGGCCGUAACUAUAACGGUCCUAAGGUAGCGAAAUUCCUUGUCGGGUAAGUUCCGACCCGCACGAAAGGCGUAACGAUCUGGGCACUGUCUCAACGAGAGACUCGGUGAAAUUAUAGUACCUGUGAAGAUGCAGGUUACCCGCGACAGGACGGAAAGACCCCGUGGAGCUUUACUGUAGCCUGAUAUUGAAUUUUGGUACAGCUUGUACAGGAUAGGUAGGAGCCUGAGAAGCCGGAGCGCUAGCUUCGGUGGAGGCGUCGGUGGGAUACUACCCUGGCUGUAUUGAAAUUCUAACCCGCGGCCCUGAUCGGGCCGGGAGACAGUGUCAGGUGGGCAGUUUGACUGGGGCGGUCGCCUCCUAAAAUGUAACGGAGGCGCCCAAAGGUUCCCUCAGAAUGGUUGGAAAUCAUUCGUAGAGUGUAAAGGCACAAGGGAGCUUGACUGCGAGACCUACAAGUCGAGCAGGGACGAAAGUCGGGCUUAGUGAUCCGGUGGUUCCGCAUGGAAGGGCCAUCGCUCAACGGAUAAAAGCUACCCCGGGGAUAACAGGCUUAUCUCCCCCAAGAGUCCACAUCGACGGGGAGGUUUGGCACCUCGAUGUCGGCUCAUCGCAUCCUGGGGCUGUAGUCGGUCCCAAGGGUUGGGCUGUUCGCCCAUUAAAGCGGUACGCGAGCUGGGUUCAGAACGUCGUGAGACAGUUCGGUCCCUAUCCGUCGUGGGCGUAGGAAAUUUGAGAGGAGCUGUCCUUAGUACGAGAGGACCGGGAUGGACACACCGCUGGUGUACCAGUUGUCUUGCCAAAGGCAUCGCUGGGUAGCUAUGUGUGGACGGGAUAAGUGCUGAAAGCAUCUAAGCAUGAAGCCCCCCUCAAGAUGAGAUUUCCCAUAGCGCAAGCUAGUAAGAUCCCUGAAAGAUGAUCAGGUUGAUAGGUCAGAGGUGGAAGC